CACUAAAUGUCUGAAAGCAAGUAGUGGUCUCUUAAACCGUAAAUAAUAGAUUAGCGCCUAUUUUUAGUGA
This 70-nucleotide transfer RNA is filed under the name Caenis pycnacantha. RNAcentral describes it as "tRNA-Lys". The record is from RNAcentral. Lineage: Eukaryota; Metazoa; Arthropoda; Insecta; Ephemeroptera; Caenidae.